Molecule: long non-coding RNA, 492 nt
Filed under: Androctonus crassicauda
Lineage: Eukaryota; Metazoa; Arthropoda; Arachnida; Scorpiones; Buthidae
Source: RNAcentral
GUAUAGGAGUUCCGAACAGUUUCUUGCAAGUCAGCAGCAUAGCAGAGUGGGCUCAGUGAUGGGCUACGGAGCAGGACCGCUCGGGUUCGAGACACACGGGUACAUAAGGAUUUUUCCUGAAAUGUAAACAUAGAAAUAUGGCGCAAGAAGGAGGCUAGCCCCCCGUCAGACACGAGAGCAGGGCGGGUGGCAGUAGGGCGCCCAGGGAAAGGAAAAGAUCAAAGAUGGGUGCAAACAUGGGAGAAUGCAUUUUUUUGCUCACGCGCGAGCGAUGCGCCGCGCAACGCGGACAACCUUUUUCCGGCUUCCCCAAAAUACUGAACCCCGUUUGCAUCCUGCACACCCCCAAAAAUAAUGGGAUCCCUUUUUCAGUAUCGCCUCCAAGCGGUGCGACUGCUGCGCGAAGGAUGCGAUCACGCUGGACAGGUUAGUUCAACAGUUGCCCCAUAUGGCAGGUAAGAAGUUGAGAUGAACAUAUGCGUCCGAUGAUUU